RNAcentral lists this ribosomal RNA (252 nucleotides) under uncultured bacterium. RNAcentral describes it as "partial 16S ribosomal RNA". It matches the Rfam family "Bacterial small subunit ribosomal RNA", at positions 524 to 776 of the family's 1533-position model. The record is from RNAcentral.
UACAGAGGGGGCAAGCGUUGUUCGGAAUUACUGGGCGUAAGGGCGCGUAGGUGGCCUUCUAAGUUGAACGUGAAAUCCCUGGGCUCAACCCAGGAACUGCGUCCAAGACUGGGAGGCUUGAAUCCGGGAGAGGGAUGCGGAAUUCCAGGUGUAGCGGUGAAAUGCGUAGAUAUCUGGAGGAACACCGGUGGCGAAGGCGGCAUCCUGGACCGGUAUUGACACUGAGGCGCGAAAGCCAGGGGAGCAAACGGG